GACUAAAAAAUCCCCUCUACGCCGCCCGGCGCAUGACCGCCCGAUUCAGCGCCUCCCGCUGGAGACCGCCCGCCUCCGACGAGGGCCACGCCGGUGAUCUCCCCUCAGCCCGCCUGCCCCCUCCUUUCAUCUCCGUUCUACUCCUUCUCUCUCGGCCCCAUCGAGCUCGCCUCGAUCCAUGGCCCCUCCUUAAACCUAGCUCCGGUCUCGGCCACGACCGGCCUCGCAGAUCUCGGCCGCCAUCCCCUACGCCUCCCCCCGCGUCUCCCUCACCUCGCCCGUGCAGCACCGUGGCUGCACGUCGCCUGCGCCAUCUGCUGCAGCCCCGCUCUAAACCACUUGCAUGCCAUGGGCAGCGGCCAUGGAGGACACACCUCCGCCUGCUCACUCGCCGCUGGCCAGCCAGUACCUCCACCAACAUCUCAUCCAUCUAGAUCAGUGGCCCUUUAAUUUUAGCGGAUUUUCUUCUUCUUUACAGCAUGCUAAUUAGCUAGGAUAUAGUCUUGAUUUCAAUUAUUGCAGAAUGGCAAUCUGCUUUAUGUUGGCUUUAUCAUCUCAGGAUAAUCCAGAUGUUCUCAUAUGCCUUGAGGAGUUGUCGGUGGAUUAUAUGCAGAGGCUACCAAGUGGUAGCUCCAAUGUUGCAAGAGGUCAGUAAUGGGUGCUUCUUCUGGGAUGGCUAACCUGAGAUACCAACGCUGAAGGAUCUGAAUUUUCAAGCUCAGCAAGGCCUGCAUGUUGCAGUCUGUGGGACGGCCGGCUCUGGAAAAUCAAGUUUGCUCUCUUGAAUGGUAUGGUUUCAAAGCUAUUAGGAGAGGCCAAGACUUGCGGAACAAUGCCAUAUGUCAGCCAGACUGCAUGGAUACAAAGCGACAAAAUUCAGGACAACAUACUGCUCUGCAAGACGAUGGAGAGGGAGAAGUAUGGCAGGGUCCUUGAGUGGUGUUCGCUAAAGAAAGACUUGGAGAUCAGAAAUCAUUGGAGAGUGAGUCUGCACUCUUAGUGCCUGGCAGAAGCAAAGGACUCGGAUAGCCCGAGCAUUGUAUCAGUAUGCUGACAUCUAUUUAUUCCAUGAUCCGUUCAACGCAGUUGACAUACAGGAUCCCAAUUUUUCAAGAUCGAUGGUUUCGUCGCGGUCGGCAGGAGAAAUAUCAUCAAUGGUACGGAAAAAGGCAGGUAGGCUGAGGCGGGCGCCCACACCGAGCAGCCGAUCCAGGAAACCAGCCCUGCGGCAUCCCCUCGUGCCACUCCCCAUCUCUAUGUUUGUGUCAGGCCUAGCGCAAGGUAUUGGUAGAAGAGGAGGCCGGAAAGAGAAGCUGCAUGGUAGGAGGCUUUUGUUCUGAAGGCAAGUUGGAUGAUCUGCUGACAAAGAAACACCUCUAUUCUGAAUUUCUACUUGAAACAAUUGAUCAGAUCACAAAUGUACCUUGGUUAUGUCUCUCACUGUGUGCUGAACAAUGUUUUGCCUAUUUUCAUCUUGGUUGCUGACAUUGUUGGUGUUAUCUGUCAAAGAAAGUUGUUGAAGUGAAAGAUGAAGAUGAACCCGUAGAAGAGCUGAAACAAGGACGUGGUAGAAAAAAGGAAGCGAAGCCUAAACAGUAUAAUGAUGUGAGUUCAGAUUUCUUAUGUUUUCUUCCCUGCUUCAUCAAUAUGAUAGCAUGGUUGUCUUCCAGAUUAUGCGAAUGUCUUUGGUUGUCAUAUACUGUGGAUGCAUUGUAGUUUGAUGUGUAGCCUGUAUUAACUGCUCAACAGACUUUCCUUGAAUAAUUAUACAUAGACUGUUCGAUCUCUUAUUGUUUAAAGAAAAUUCUAAUUAACUGCUCAACCCGUGACAGUACUGCCUCGCCCAGCGAGUUUUAGCUGAUUGAUCCUGCACAUCAGCCUAACUGCUACAAUAAAUGGACUUACAACAAUGAUUCUUUCUAUAUUGAAUUUCUAUAUUCGACCUCACCAUUGCUUAGUUUCCUUUCCUGAUGUCAAGACACAAAGAAUUUGAGAUCCAAUUUAUCUUUUUUAGUUUUUACACUAGAGUGCUUCAUUUAUAUGUAUUACUGUAGACACAUGGGAAUCCUCAAGGUGGCAGGCUUGUUCAGUUAAAUGGUCUGUAUUGUUUCCGGUGUGUGUUGGUCAUGCAUCAGGUAUCACUCAGUUUCAAGGAAUUUCAAGAGGGCAUGUCAGCUUCUCCUAUUUGAUGAAAGAAACCGACAAACAAGGAGAGAAAACUUAAACAAGAGAAAUGUAUGAGGAUGUCGGUGUCCCAUCAAACAUGUAUUGUGUACAGACUUUAUGGAAUAAUGAAGUAGAAAGCCAUCAAAUACAAAGGUUGUGUCCCAUCAGUAACUUUAUUUUUGAGUGACAAUAGUAACUAUAUUUGAUUUAGUUGAGUGACAAAUAACACAGUAGAGGCCCUAUCUGAGAAUGUAUAUAUUUAUCCAAGAACAACCC
Molecule: long non-coding RNA, 2442 nt
Organism: Triticum dicoccoides
Lineage: Eukaryota; Viridiplantae; Streptophyta; Magnoliopsida; Poales; Poaceae
Exons: 4
Source: RefSeq, a predicted model, not a curated record